RNAcentral lists this ribosomal RNA (230 nucleotides) under uncultured bacterium. Its description in RNAcentral is "partial 16S ribosomal RNA". It matches the Rfam family "Bacterial small subunit ribosomal RNA", at positions 527 to 756 of the family's 1533-position model. The record is from RNAcentral.
GUAGGGGGCAAGCGUUGUCCGGAAUCAUUGGGCGUAAAGCGCGUGUAGGCGGCCCGGUAAGUCCGCUGUGAAAGUCCAGGGCUCAACCCUGGGAUGCCGGUGGAUACUGUCGGGCUCGAGUCCGGAAGAGGCGAGUGGAAUUCCUGGUGUAGCGGUGAAAUGCGCAGAUAUCAGGAGGAACACCGGUGGCGAAGGCGGGUCUCUGGGCAGUAACUGACGCUGAGGAGCGA